AUGUGCAGUCUCAGGGAUGGACUUAGAGGAAGAAGCCUGAUCUUUUGGAACAUGCUGAGGAAUGCCCCCACCAACCAGGAACACCUGCAUGGGAUUAUACACUGCUUUAAACCUUGGAAAGCCACUAGCAAUGCUCUUCAAGAACAGCUGGACACAACAGCAGAAUCUUUCUGCAGACAGGAAUUUCCUGGAAUAAAACUAUUGACCAUCGAGUGUAAUGGAAUAAAGUUCUCAUUAGUUUCUUUCUCUUGGGUAGUUUGAGUUCUUUUUUCCUUGUUAUGGAGCUAAUUAAGAUUAUAGGAAACUAGAGCUACUUAGAA
This 320-nucleotide long non-coding RNA is filed under the name Vulpes vulpes (red fox). RNAcentral describes it as "lncRNA (ENSVVUG00000019756.1)". The record is from RNAcentral. Lineage: Eukaryota; Metazoa; Chordata; Mammalia; Carnivora; Canidae.